AGAGCGAACGCUGGCGGCGUGGAUUAGGCAUGCAAGUCGAGCGAGAACUGAGGAAGCUUGCUUCCGAGGGGACAGCGGCGAAAGGGAGAGUAACGCGUGGAUUACCUACCUUCAGGACCGGGAUAGCUGCGGGAAACUGCAGGUAAUACCGGAUAAUAUCUCAGGAUCAAAUGGUGAGAUUCCGCCUGGAGAUGGGUCCGCGUCCUAUUAGCUUGUUGGUAGGGUAAUGGCCUACCAAGGCAAUGAUGGGUACCGGGUGUGAGAGCAUGACCCGGCUCACUGGGACUGAGACACUGCCCAGACACCUACGGGUGGCUGCAGUCGAGAAUCUUCCACAAUGGACGCAAGUCUGAUGGAGCGACGCCGCGUGCGGGAUGAAGGCCUUCGGGUUGUAAACCGCUGUCAGUUGGGAGGAAAUCUAUGGGGGUUCUCCCCCAUAGUUGACCUAUCUUCAGAGGAAGGGCGGGCUAAGUUCGUGCCAGCAGCCGCGGUAAGACGAACCGCCCAAACGUUAUUCGGAAUCACUGGGCUUAAAGGGUGCGUAGGCGGCUUGGCAAGUUGGGUGUGAAAUCCCUCGGCUCAACCGAGGAAUUGCGCUCAAAACUGCCAGGCUAGAGGGAGAUAGAGGUGAGCGGAACUUAUGGUGGAGCGGUGAAAUGCGUUGAUAUCAUAAGGAACACCUGUGGCGAAAGCGGCUCACUGGAUCUUUUCUGACGCUGAGGCACGAAAGCUAGGGUAGCGAACGGGAUUAGAUACCCCGGUAGUCCUAGCUGUAAACGAUGAGCACUGGGUUGGAGAGUCCUCCAUAGCUUUCCGGCCGAAGCGAAAGUGUUAAGUGCUCCGCCUGGGGAGUAUGGUCGCAAGGCAA
This 868-nucleotide ribosomal RNA is filed under the name uncultured Planctomycetota bacterium. RNAcentral describes it as "bacterial SSU rRNA". It matches the Rfam family "Bacterial small subunit ribosomal RNA", at positions 26 to 896 of the family's 1533-position model. The record is from RNAcentral. Lineage: Bacteria; Pseudomonadati; Planctomycetota.